Molecule: ribosomal RNA, 467 nt
Filed under: uncultured bacterium
Lineage: Bacteria
Description: partial 16S ribosomal RNA
Rfam family: Bacterial small subunit ribosomal RNA
Source: RNAcentral
GACGAACGCUGGCGGCGUGCUUAACACAUGCAAGUCGAACGGAAAGGCCCUGCUUUUGUGGGGUGCUCGAGUGGCGAACGGGUGAGUAACACGUGAGUAACCUGCCCUUGACUUUGGGAUAACUUCAGGAAACUGGGGCUAAUACCGGAUAGGAGCUCCUGCUGCAUGGUGGGGGUUGGAAAGUUUCGGCGGUUGGGGACGGACUCGCGGCUUAUCAGCUUGUUGGUGGGGUAGUGGCUUACCAAGGCUUGGACGGGUAGCCGGCCUGAGGGGGUGACCGGCCCAAUGGGACUCGGGGACGGGCCCGGAGCCCACGGGGGGGAAGGGGGGGGAAAAUUGGCCAGAGGGGGGGAGGCCGUGGCGAGCAACGCCGGGGGGGGAAGAGCGGCUUUGGGGUUGAAACCCCUUUUCCCGUGGGGGUAAGGGGGGUGACGGUAAAUGGGAAAAAAACCACGGCUAACUACGUG